UUAAGCAUAUCACUAAGCGCAGGAGAAGAAACUAACCAGGAUUUCCCUAGUAACGGCGAGCGAACCGGAAAGAGCCCAGCUUGAAAAUCGUGGCGCCUCGCGCCUCGAAUUGUAGUCUGGAGAAGGUCCCUCUGAGGCGCGCCGGACCCAAGUUCCCUGGAAAGGGACGUCGGAGAGGGUGACAACCCCGUCGAGUCCGCGCUGCGCCGCUCCACGAGUCCCUGUCUGCGAGUCGGACUGUUUGGGAAUGCAGUCCUAAGUGGGUGGUAAAUUCCAUCCAAGGCUAAAUAUUGGCAAGAGACCGAUAGCGAACAAGUACCGCGAGGGAAAGAUGAAAAGGACUUUGAAAAGAGAGUUAAAAAGUGCUUGAAAUUGCUGGGAGGGAAGCGAAUGGAAGCUGCGGGUGCGCCCCGGUUGGAUGUGGAACGGCUUCGGCUGGUCCGCCGCUCAACGCGGGGCGCUGGUCAGCGUGGGCCGUCGCGGCGGGACAAGAGCGGGGAUUCGCUUCCCGCCUAUGCCGUCGCGGCGGCCGAGGAACGAAGCGCGCGCCUCCUUUGGCGUGGGGCUUGCCCCAACUGCGCGCUCGGGACGCUGGCGUAUUGAGCUCUUCAUCCGACCCGUCUUGAAACACGGACCAAGGAGUCUAACAUGUAUGCGAGCCGGUGGGCGGCAAACCCAUUGAGGCGCAAGUAAACUGACAGGUGGGACCCCGACCGCAAGGGAGGGAGCACCAUCGACCGACCGUGAUCUUCUGUGAAAGGUUUGAGUACGAGCAUAAAUGUUGGGACCCGAAAGAUGGUGAACUAUGCCUGAGCAGGGCGAAGCCAGAGGAAACUCUGGUGGAGGCUCGUAGCGAUACUGACGUGCAAAUCGUUCGUCAGACUUGGGUAUAGGGGCGAAAGACUAAUCGAACCAUCUAGUAGCUGGUUCCCUCCGAAGUUUCCCUCAGGAUAGCUGGAGCUCGUGUAAAAGUUUUAUCAGGUAAAGCGAAUGAUUAGAGGCAUCGGGGGUGUAACACCCUCGACCUAUUCUCAAACUUUAAAUAGGUAAGCCGCCGGGGUUGCUUGGUUGAACCCCGGCACAGAAUGAGAGCUCCAAGUGGGCCAU
Molecule: ribosomal RNA, 1107 nt
Filed under: Cladomniopsis crenato-obtusa
Lineage: Eukaryota; Viridiplantae; Streptophyta; Bryopsida; Ptychomniales; Ptychomniaceae
Description: eukaryotic LSU rRNA
Rfam family: Eukaryotic large subunit ribosomal RNA
Source: RNAcentral